This 29-nucleotide non-coding RNA is filed under the name Rattus norvegicus (Norway rat). Lineage: Eukaryota; Metazoa; Chordata; Mammalia; Rodentia; Muridae. The record is from RNAcentral.
UGCAGGAAGCAGUGUGGGAAGAUCCCUGA